This 467-nucleotide ribosomal RNA is filed under the name uncultured bacterium. RNAcentral's name for it is "partial 16S ribosomal RNA". It matches the Rfam family "Bacterial small subunit ribosomal RNA", at positions 28 to 506 of the family's 1533-position model. The record is from RNAcentral.
GACGAACGCUGGCGGCGUGCUUAACACAUGCAAGUCGAACGGAAAGGCCCUGCUUUUGUGGGGUGCUCGAGUGGCGAACGGGUGAGUAACACGUGAGUAACCUGCCCUUGACUUUGGGAUAACUUCAGGAAACUGGGGCUAAUACCGGAUAGGAGCUCCUGCUGCAUGGUGGGGGUUGGAAAGUUUCGGCGGUUGGGGAUGGACUCGCGGCUCAUCAGCUUGUUGGUGGGGUAGUGGCUUACCAGGGCUUUGACGGGUAGCCGGCCUGAGAGGGUGACCGGCCACAUUGGGACUGAGAUACGGCCCAGACUCCUACGGGAGGCAGCAGUGGGGAAUAUUGCACAAUGGGCGGAAGCCUGAUGCAGCAACGCCGCGUGCGGGAUGACGGCCUUCGGGUUGUAAACCGCUUUCGCCUGUGACGAAGCGUGAGUGACGGUAAUGGGUAAAGAAGCACCGGCUAACUACGU